GGCCUAGAUUUUUCACAAAAGAAAUUGUAGAGGAUUGUGUACUAUGACAAUUGACUCUUUUUUUUUUCUAGGUACCCAAUAGAACUGUCCAGAUUCGCCAAGAGUCAUAUUUCCAUAGAAUUCAGAGAAGGGACUUUAAAGAAGUUCAAAUUUGGAAGGUCUGUUUUUGCUUUCCAUCCUCUGUGGACCGUUAGAUUGUGUAAUUAGCCACUUUAACUCUGUUGAUAAGGA
RNAcentral lists this long non-coding RNA (231 nucleotides) under Monodelphis domestica (gray short-tailed opossum). Its description in RNAcentral is "lncRNA (ENSMODG00000041422.1)". The record is from RNAcentral. Lineage: Eukaryota; Metazoa; Chordata; Mammalia; Didelphimorphia; Didelphidae.